GAAUAUCCCAAACUGUUAAGGACCCACCAGGAUCAUUGUGCUUCCAUCACCCAGCAGCAACCAAGGCAUAGCUGUGCUAUUAAUGCUGCUUCAGUGGAAACCAGGACAGUGUGGCUGUAUGAGAGAAAGGGGACAGAACAACCUUCCUCAGAUGAAAGAUUUCUAGGUGACAAGCAGCCAGACAAGGAGGAAUGUGAAGCUCCAUCAGGGAGUGAGGGAGACUGCCCCAAAACAGCUCCUGCAGAGUUGCAUGCCUUGGGCCUCCUGGUCCAGAGCAUGGAAACCAAGCUGCUCUCUCAGCACAGAGGUCACUUUGGAUAGUCCUUCAUUCUCCCUGGAGCAAGAGCAUUUGAAAGGGAAGUGUGUGAAAUGAAACACUGGAAUGAGGCAGCCAGUGCUUCCUGCUCCCAGCCUGACCAGAAAAAGGCAUGGAAACAUGAACAGCAUUUCUUUAUUUGUACUUCUUGUUUUUCAGCUCUCAGACUGAAUCAAAGUUUAUAAAUUCGUAAACACCCUGAAAUAAGAAAGUAAAAUGAAACAACCGUAUCUGUGGCUUUCAGACCUUCAAAAACUAGUUUAUGACAAAGAUUUACUUCUCACAACCUUUUCUGUUUUCAGAAUGGAUUUUCCACUAUCUAACAAAAAGAAAAGAGAGAAAAGAAAGGUCCUUUUAUCUACUAAUGGAGGGCUAUUCUCCUCCAUUUUAUUGCUGCCUUGAGGUACUGCAGAAGAUUAAUCAUUUUCCUGUUGAAGAGUCAGCAUAAAUUCAAGAAUUUAAUAAUGCAAACCAUAAAACCUCUUUUUAAUUAUCUAAUCACUGUUUUUUUCCUUGAAAAUCUGUGAAUAAAUUAUACUAAAAGUUAAGUAUCCUUGCCUUGUAUUAACCACCUUUACAGACAGUACCCUUGAAGCAGGAGAAGGUCUGAAAUAGACCCCAGAUUUGCUGGACACAGAGCAAUUUACUGGAUGAGAAGAAUGCCUGUCCUGGGGCCCUGCUUACUGGAACUCUUUGAAGAUCACAGCAAAAAAAAGGAUGAGUUUCUUUAGGACUGUCCUAUAUACAAUCUGUUUGUUAUAUGUAGAAUGAGUAAGUUAAUGUCUUUGCUUCUUCUGCCAGGCCCAGCACAAUUGAUGCCCAGACUGGUUACGUCUGCACCACAGAACUGUAGUCUUUGAGACACUGAUGUCCCAGGUAGGAAAAAACUUGCUAACUUCUCCUUUACUUAAUGGUCCUAUUUGCUGAGGAUAGAAAAGCUGAUAAAGAUCUGAUAAUUUAUCACUUUUGUUUUUUAGAGGUGCUCUUUUGUCUCUUCACAGUAAUUUUACCCUUCUAAACAUUAGUCCAUCUAGGUUUUGUGGCAUCAUUUUUUAGAACCUUAGCAAUAUCAAUGUUUGUGUGAUAGGCAUCUUAUUUUUGGACAUUAAAUUACUGGGUUCAUGACAAUUUGAUAUAAACAGAAAUAAAAGAUCUAUCAUCUAUUAACACAUCAACUGAUACUUUAACAUCUAUUGAUAUAGAGUCAAAAAACUCCAAAGAAUUGACUAAAGUGUAUUUAUUUAUUCAUUUAAUUGACAUGGAAAUGGAAACAAAGAUCUACUCUGCUAUGUUAAAGAGGGCAAUAGGCAGAUAACUCUUGUGGCAAAAUACAUAUAUAUGAACAUUAAUAUAAGGCUGGAGAUGCAACUACCUAGGGGCUGCAGAGGCAAUCUGAAAGGGAACACAGACAAUAUCAUGUAUCAGUAUAUUUAGUCUGUAGAUUACUUUUUUUCUUUUUUCUUUUUUUUUAUAUUGUAUUUUUCCUGAAUGUUGGCAGCUUAAAUAGUAUUCCUACUGGAAAAGGAUAGCAAAUUAUUCAGUUAUGAAGUACGGCCAGCUCCACUAUGGUCAACUGUGUUAUACUAAGGCUGAAUGUGAUCCAGUGGGUGAUUUCUAGUUCACUGCAAUUUUUUAAACUUAAAAUCCAAUCAGCACACCUUUUUAAAAUUGAAAAAGGAUUACUGCAUCUUUUUUUUUUUUUUCUUUUUCUGUUCAAUUCUCACAUUUAGAAGGGACAUAAUAUCCACAAGAGAAAAAUAAAAACCUUCUUUACUUAAACAAAAGAAAACAUGUAAUCCUAGAUAAUAUUCUCAUCCUUGAUUUUUCAUCAUUUUCAAGUCCCAGGAGUAUAACUAUAAUCCAGGUAUAAUGGCAUUUUUUAAGCCAAGAAACAGAAGCUAAAUGUCAGUACUGGCUUAAAACUAUUAACACAUAUGGGAGCUACCAGGCUGUCAGUCUUAGAGAACACAAAGACAAAAACAAGAAAAUAUUCACUCUGAUGUCAUCCAGAAAAAUACACAUAUUCUCAUUUUUCAGCUAUUAUUGCCUGGAAUUUCCAAUAUCCAAAAUUGUUGUAAGUGAAAACCGCACGAACUCUCUAUGAAAUCUUUCAAAUUAAAAGUUAAAGUUGCAUUGUGUCAUGAAGAUGAUUACAGUUGAUUUUUCUGAUUUUUGAUUCUCCUUUUUCUGGUGGUUUCUUUGAUGCUUUCCCAGUUUUUCUUCUACAUAAAGGUAACAACAGAUUAGCUUUAGGAGGCUUGUGUAUCCCAAUACUACGUUAAGAUGCUUCUAGAUGAAAGAAGCUGAGUGCAUCGUGAAUAUUGUCACCUUCAGCAGAAAGAGAGUGUUGACUCAGCGGGAAGCCUGAAGAAUUCCAGGUGUCCAAGUGCCUGAAAUCAUUACUAAGUGCUGGUAAGUGCUACAGAAAAUCCAUGGCAAAACACUAUAUUUUACUGUUCAUAUGCUUCAAAAUCUCUUGAUUAAAAGGUGGAGUGCAAGAGAGUGUUUUUAUAUUGAAAAAACGGAUUUUAGUCACUGAUUUUAGUGAACUGACUUACAAACUUAAUUUCAGUCUUUAUAAAGCUGUGUGUGGCGUAUUUGGAAACAUUGCUACACUUGAAUUUUGUGUGGUAUAACAAAUCCUUGUGCAGCAAGCAAUAGCAGGGUGGUUGCAGUACUUCCAGCAAUACUGGCUGCGUGCCGGGCUCAUACAAGGUGAGUCCACGUAAAGGGCAUUUCAUUUGAGGACAGAGCAGGAUUUAAAGCAGGAAAUCCAUCUGUUAAAAAUCCAUCUCUCUUUUGAGAAGUGUCACGAGCCUCUGCUGGUCUUUUGAAGCUCUGACAUCAAUGGACUGAAACUGAACAGGGCCCAGGCUAACACAGUGCUGUUUAUUUAUGUGGUGUAAUGUAAGUAAACAGCACAAAAGUAAUUUGGUGUUUUAUCACAGCAUGUGAUAAGCCAUUAUCUCAUGUUUUCUAUGGAAGAUAGUCUCAGCUGAAAAAGUUGGUAACACAGUAGGCUAUUAAUAGGAUGUGGGAUGUGAUUACUUUUUUGGAGUACUGCAAUAUGUGAUUACUUUUAGGGGUUGUAGAAAGAAACUAUUAAAUGAUAAUUAUAGGACUCUAUUCACUUUAAAGUUCUGUAAUAGUCCCAAACAUUGGAGUUUUCAUUAACUGUUCUCCACAGUUAAUAAAGCCAUUUUUCUCUGAAACUAGUAAUUUGCUCUGAAAGUGAUGGCACGGUAUGUAGCUGCUCAGAUUUACAAAUGAAAAAAGAAACUUUAAAUGAUCAUGUAAAUUAUUUGACUUGCCGAUAGUAACGCUCUCUCUGAAAAGUUCUUUCUAUGAAAGUAUGUAUAAUUUUAAUUAUCAUAUCUAAUAUUAAAAAAAUAGAGAAAUAAUUACACUGACAACAUGUAUUCAAUAAAGAUUAUACAAAAAUGAUGAAAUGACUGUUUGCAAAUGGAUGGAUUGCUUUAUAAUAUUUAUUUCCUAGUUACAAAAUUAUACAGGAAGAUUUGGUCUUAAGUAUCAACUAGUUUAAAUAACCUUUUCUACAAUUGUCAGCCUCUGCAUUCAACAUGUAUCAUCAUUUCCACUGCAAAACAUUUUUAUCUGGAUUACCUUUGUCAUUAAAAUAAUAAUUAUUAAAAAAAUUAAUUUGCUGCACGUGGAAAUGAAGGAUUAAUGCAGUUGUCUGAAGUAAGACCAAAAUAUCAUUUGCCUGCAGCUGUAUCAGAGCAUCUCAAUUCUAACCUAUCUGUUCUCUCUUAGAUUAAAUACUCUGAAACACUUUCAGUUUGGUGCAAUGACCAUAAAUUACCUCUUAAGGAGAAAUUUGGCCUCAGGGUCUCAAGUAAAUAAUUCAUUUUUAUUUACUUCUCUAAAAAUACAUUCAUCAAUUUUUCAAAAAUUGUGUUUUACUACAUUAAAGAGAAUAAAUAUGUCCUCUUCACUGGAUCCUUUUUGAAUUGCUUAUGUAUGUACAAGUGUCAAGCACUAGGCAACAAUAUUACUUUGAUCCUUCAAGAAUUACGGAGUUUUUGUUUUGGAACUCUGAUGACAGCUACCCUCAUUUCAGGUUUUUAUAGAGGCAGAAAGCAUACCAGAACAAAACACUUGGGAGAAAAAAAGUUGUUGCUGGUGAUGUUGCCUUUUGUAUUUCUGGCAGUUGAGACUGAAUCCGUUGGAUUCAUUAUUUAAGCCAGUUCAAAUGAGUACUACAUUUCAGAAAAGAGUCCGAGUUUCCUUCAAACAUUAAAGUUUGCUAAUUAAAACUAAUUUCUCAGGAACUGAAACUGUAUUUUUUUUCCCCAUACAGGAAAAAAACAAAUGAACAUUGAACAUGAAUGUCAUAAUGAUUACCACUAAGAAAAUAUAAUAAAUAUUUAUAAUGGCUGAAUUUGUAUUUUCAUUUUCUCUCUCUUUUUAAGUCUCUGGCUUCCUGAGCCUUUGGCAAGUUAGGUUCACUGAUGUUACCAUGUCAGAAGAUCAAAUAAAUUCUGGCUUUCAUCUAUGCCUUUUUUUUUCCCUGUACAAAUUUCUUACCUCUUAUUGUACUCAUUGUGACUGCAGUACUUCAUUAUAAGAAUACCUCAUUAACAGAAAAUUGGUAAAGGGAUCAUGAUUUCUCGUGUCAUUAGUGAUAGGACCAGAGGGAAUGGCUUCAAGCUACGGCAGGGGAGAUUCAGGCUUGACAUUAGGAAGUAUUACUUUUCAGAAAGGGUGGUCAGGCACUGGAAUGGAUGCCCAGGGAGGUGGUGGAGUCACCGAGCCUGGGGGUGUUCAAGGAAAGGCUGGAUGUUGUGUUGAGGGACAUGGUUUAGUGGGAGCUACUGGGAAUAGGUGAACAGUUGGACUGGAUGAUCUUGAAGGUCUUUUCCAACCUUGGUGAUUCUAUGAUUCUAUGAUUCUAUGAUACCUAUAUGCUGAGAUGCGCCCCAUCUGGAUUUCCAUUUCAAGGCAAUAAUUUUGUACAGUAAGUUAGUGUGGUACUGACUUUUUCCAUUAGACCCUAGUCUGCAUUCUCUUGUGGCCCAAAAAAUAGCAAGCACAGUUAGAUGAACAAAUAAAUACAGACAGUGUAAUGGAGGAUGUAUUUCUCCACUAAUUCUAGCUUACCAAGUAGUUUUGUUUAAAUCAAAGAGCUCUGCCAUUCACAUUUAUUGAACAAUUUUGUCGGUGCUUUUCACCCUCUUCCUGGAAAAUGAAGAGGCUGUGGAUUUACAUGCAGAGCAUUAUUAUGUAAUUUAACAUAUGUAUUCAGGAAAAUGAAAGUGAGUUAACAAGCACUGCAUUAUUCCAAGAACAUCCCCAUAUUUGAGCUGUAUUUCUUCUUCCUUUAACUCUAAACCUCUAGAAAAGAGGCACUCUGUCAAAAUUAAUGAAAAUGCUGUUGCGUGACAUUAAGUUGGGCAUUAGUUUUCCUUUGGCCAUUAUUAUAAAGGAAACCUGCAU
Lagopus muta (rock ptarmigan) is the source of this 5773-nucleotide long non-coding RNA. RefSeq lists it as uncharacterized. The record is from RefSeq and is a predicted model, not a curated record. NCBI's taxonomy places the organism in Eukaryota, Metazoa, Chordata, Aves, Galliformes, Phasianidae. The transcript has 4 exons.